CAGUAGCGCGGUAACACAGAGGGUGCAAGCGUUAAUCGGAAUUACUGGGCGUAAAGCGCGCGUAGGUGGUUUGUUAAGUUGGAUGUGAAAGCCCCGGGCUCAACCUGGGAACUGCAUCCAAAACUGGCAAGCUAGAGUACGGUAGAGGGUGGUGGAAUUUCCUGUGUAGCGGUGAAAUGCGUAGAUAUAGGAAGGAACACCAGUGGCGAAGGCGACCACCUGGACUGAUACUGACACUGAGGUGCGAAAGCGUGGGGAGCAAACAGGAUUAGAUACCCCCGUAGUCCCUGUCUCUUAUACC
Molecule: ribosomal RNA, 301 nt
Filed under: uncultured bacterium
Lineage: Bacteria
Description: partial 16S ribosomal RNA
Rfam family: Bacterial small subunit ribosomal RNA
Source: RNAcentral